GCAGCUCAGUGGUAGAGCAUCUGGCUCACAUGUAGAAGAUUCCUGGUUCAGUUCCUAGCAUCUCCA
Molecule: non-coding RNA, 66 nt
Organism: Podarcis lilfordi (Lilford's wall lizard)
Lineage: Eukaryota; Metazoa; Chordata; Lepidosauria; Squamata; Lacertidae
Source: the annotation of a GenBank genome assembly